Quercus lobata is the source of this 916-nucleotide long non-coding RNA. RefSeq lists it as uncharacterized. The transcript is spliced from 4 exons. The record is from RefSeq and is a predicted model, not a curated record. Lineage: Eukaryota; Viridiplantae; Streptophyta; Magnoliopsida; Fagales; Fagaceae.
ACAAAGCGUCAGUCAUGAAAAAAAAAUCAGACCUCGCUCUCUCUCCCUUGCCGAUUAACCUACCUUCGAAUCGCUGUCCAUCACGCCGCCGCUGUCCUCCGAUCUAAGGCUUUACACCGUCCAAUCCGGCGCUGCAGCUUUUCCCACCCAUCUCGCCAUCUCCACUGGGAAUCAGGCCGGUAUAAUCGGUCCUACCCUCUGCCGCCGACACCACAGCCACCGCGGCCAUCCCCGGUCUCAGCCGCCCAAAACGCUCCUGAAGGUAGCUGACAUUAAAAGGAUGAAUGGCUUGGCAACAGAUCUUCAAAUGUUUGCUUUGAAGACAUUACAAAUACCAUUACCAGGAAGACAUCCACCAUCUCCCAGUUUGUCUAAUGGGUCUGCUUCUCAAGGUUGAACGUGUAAAGCUUAAAAGCGGAGCAUGGAGCCAAUGACCUUUCUACCAGGUGACACUUCCCUCUCUAGUGGAGGGCCAUGUCCAAGGGUCAGAUUCCCUUGACAACUUUACCUAGGCCAAAAAAAAUGGUGGAGCAUGUAUUGUAAAGUUCACAUGGCUCAUCCCACAUACUGGAAGCCAAUUGGAGCAAGGUAAUUUAACAAAGGUUAUGCCUUCUAUGCUGGCACUCUCAAAUCCUCCUCCUUCUUCACUGCAUGGGACCAUGAUGGCCAUAGCUCUCACACUUUAUCAACAGUUGGUGGUAACUUUGUUCCUGGAGCUAGUUUUUUAGGAUGGUACUAGCAGAGAUGGAGAGGACAACUCAAACAAUAACAUAGAGGUUGAAAACAACUUGGAGGGUGACUCGGAGGAAGACUAAUAUAGAUCUUGUCAUAAUUCUAGUUGUUUAAGUUUAAAUUAAUUUUAGGAUUUCUUUAUAUAUUUAUAAUUUUAAAGUUUGAACUUAUAUGAAUUUUUAUU